Molecule: non-coding RNA, 27 nt
Filed under: Cricetulus griseus (Chinese hamster)
Lineage: Eukaryota; Metazoa; Chordata; Mammalia; Rodentia; Cricetidae
Source: RNAcentral
AUUGGUGCUGGGAAUUGAACUCUUCUG